UGAAUACGAGAUGCUACGGCGUCGAAGCAGUCUAUGUCAUACUUCCAAGAAAAGCUUGCACUGUCAUAAACAAAUAAUGCCUGUACCAUAACCGACACAGGUGGGUAGGUAGAGUAUACUAAGGGGCGCGAGAUAACUCUCUCUAAGGAACUCGGCAAAAUGACUCCGUAACUUCGGGAGAAGGAGUGCCUUAUUUAUAAGGUUGCAAUAACAAGAUCCAAGCAACUGUUUACCAAAAACACAGGUCUCCGCUAAGUCGUAAGACGAUGUAUGGGGGCUGACGCCUGCCCAGUGCCAGAAGGUUAAAGAAGUUGGUUAGCAUCCGCGAAGCUGAUAACUGAAGCCCUGGUGAACGGCGGCCGUAACAAUAACGGUCCUAAGGUAGCGAAAUUCCUUGUCGGGUAAGUUCCGACCCGCACGAAAGGCGUAAUGAUUUGGAUACUGUCUCGGAGAGGGGCUCGGUGAAAUAGACUUGUCUGUGAAGAUGCGGACUACCUGCACCAGGACAGAAAGACCCUAUGAAGCUUUACUGUAACCUGAAAUUGAAAUUGGACUUUACUUGCGCAGUAUAGGUGGGAGGCGUUGAGAAUAUUCUUGCGGGAUUAUUGGAGCCAUCAGUGAGAUACCACUCUUGUAAUGUUAGAUUUCUAACUUUGUAUCAUUAUCUGGUCAAAGAACAGUUUCAGGCGGGCAGUUUGACUGGGGCGGUCGCCUCCUAAACGGUAACGGAGGCGCACAAAGGUUUCCUCUGAACGGGUAGAAAUCGUAUCUAGAGUGUAAAGGCAUAAGGAGGCUUGACUGUGAGACCUACAAGUCGAGCAGGGACGAAAGUCGGUCUUAGUGAUCUGACGGUGCUGAGUGGAAAGGCCCUCACUCAACGGAUAAAAGUUACUCUAGGAUAACAGGCUGAUCUCCCCCAAGAGUUCACAUCGACGGGGAGGUUUGGCACCUCGAUGUCGGCUCAUCGCAUCCUGGGGCGGUAGUACGUCCCAAGGGUUGGGCUGUUCGCCCAUGAAAGCGGUACGCGAGCUGGGUUCAGAACGUCGUGAGACAGUUCGGUCCAUAUCCGGUGUAGGCGUUAGAAUAUUGAGAGGAGCCUUCUUUAGUACGAGAGGACCGAGAAGGACAUACCUCUGGUGUACCAGUUAUCGUGCCAACGGUAAACGCUGGGUAGCUAUGUGUGGAGUGGAUAACCGCUGAAAGCAUCUAAGUGGGAAGCCCACCUCAAGAUAAGUAUUCUCGU
RNAcentral lists this ribosomal RNA (1243 nucleotides) under metagenome. Its description in RNAcentral is "bacterial LSU rRNA". It matches the Rfam family "Bacterial large subunit ribosomal RNA", at positions 1564 to 2817 of the family's 2925-position model. The record is from RNAcentral.